AGCAGCCGCGGUAAUUCCAGCUCCAAUAGCGUAUAUUAAAGUUGUUGCAGUUAAAAAGCUCGUAGUUGAAUUUCGGGAUUGGCGCAUCGGUCGUGCCUCACGGGGUAUGAACUGGUGCAGUCAAUUUCUCACCUUCUGGAGAACCGCGAUGUCCUUAAUUGGAUGCCGCGGGGAACCAGGACCUUUACUUUGAAAAAAUUAGAGUGUUUAAAGCAGGCAUUUUUGCUUGAAUACAUUAGCAUGGAAUAAUAAAAUAGAACGGCAUGGUUCUAUUUUGUUGGUUUCUAGGACCACCGUAAUGAUUAAUAGGGAUAGUUGGGGGCAUUAGUAUUCAAUUGUCAGAGGUGAAAUUCUUGGAUUUAUUGAAGACUAACUACUGCGAAAGCAUUUGCCAAGGAUGUUUUCAUUAAUCAAGAACGAAAGUUAGGGGAUCGAAGACGAUCAGAUACC
This 450-nucleotide ribosomal RNA is filed under the name uncultured Glomeromycotina. RNAcentral describes it as "SSU rRNA". It matches the Rfam family "Eukaryotic small subunit ribosomal RNA", at positions 569 to 1016 of the family's 1831-position model. The record is from RNAcentral. Lineage: Eukaryota; Fungi; Glomeromycota.